CUAAGUUUCCCACUCAAUAUUUUUCAAAAGACGAAGUGAGCUUGUACAAAUUUUCACGCACUGCUGAAUCAUGGACCCGGGUUCGACUCCCAAUUGAAGUCAAUAUUAUUGUUAGAGAUAUCUGGUUUUCGUGUUGUGCGUUGUCACGGAAUAGAUAAAUAAGGUUGGAAUGGUAAUGUAGGCGGGGCAAGCGUGCCACAGUUAUGAUCGUACAAACAUAACUCGACCGAUUCUUUCAUUCACCGCGUUUAGUGCGCUUCGGACUACUUGGCGAACAGAUCUCCGCUUUAUAGUGCCGUGUUGUGCAAUUAUAACUUGUAAAACAAAAAAUCAGACCUCAAGUAUAGAGCGAGGAGGUAUAUCUUUCGAUCGGUUUCCUAAAGAACCUAACGCCAGGGAACAAUGGAUUGACGUGACAGGUAGAGGAAACUGGAGACAAAGACGAGUACUAUUUGCUCUAAACAUUUUACUGAAAAUGAUUUUAUCAUAAAAAAAAGUGUGUGUGUCCGCUCCGACGCACGACUGGAGUUUACUGGAUAUAAAAAAUUAAACGAAACAAUACGAGAAAUAGUUCUAUAUUACGACAACACGAUACACUACAGAUUAUUAACAAAUUAACGAGACACAAAACAAACGACUAACAAAUAUAUGAAAAUACAAUAAUGAGAGAAACGCGCGAUUAGUACGAGGCUUUGUGGCGGACUGCCGGCGCAGCAGCCCGGCGUCACCUGCGAUAGCGCAUUUCGUGUGACAUGCGCAAUCAGGCGCAUAACGCAUUUCGUGUGACAUGCUAGUACGAUUUUGGUCCCCAUAAUUUUCAUACCCCGGGCCUAUAUAUGUAAAUCGAUUCUAACGGAGUAAACUCCAAAAAAAUCAGAAUACACUUAGUUUUGAAAAAUUCAUUCGCAAUUAAUAGCAAGCGCCAACUGCUUAACAAAUACGUUUUAUUCCAGCGACAGUGACUAUUUGUAAUUAAUAAAAGUAAAAUAGUUUUUUUUUUCAAUAUUUAUUUCAUGUUUCAUUUUCUCCAUUCAUUCAUCAGAUAAUUUAUCGAUAAAGAAUAUCGAUUUUAUCAAGCACUAUCGUGUAUGAACAUUUUUAUUGCCUUUUUGCGUGUGUGAGUGUGUAUGCCUACGGGUGUUUUGCGCUAGUUUGCGAACGAAUAUCUGUCCUGAGAUUUAUGUGUGGGUGUUUUUGUUGUGUGCGAAAUACUUGUAAUCACAGUGUGUGUAUGUGUAGAAAUUAAAAUAGUGGGGAUGAAGCGGC
This is a long non-coding RNA of Bombyx mori (domestic silkworm), 1266 nucleotides long. RefSeq lists it as uncharacterized. The transcript is spliced from 2 exons. The record is from RefSeq and is a predicted model, not a curated record. Lineage: Eukaryota; Metazoa; Arthropoda; Insecta; Lepidoptera; Bombycidae.